RNAcentral lists this long non-coding RNA (3116 nucleotides) under Marmota monax (woodchuck). Lineage: Eukaryota; Metazoa; Chordata; Mammalia; Rodentia; Sciuridae. The record is from RNAcentral.
CAGGCCAGGACAUAUUGGCAGGAAGGGAAGGGCUGCUAUUUAGGUAGACAGGAAGAAAUAUUUGACCAGAAACUUAAAUGAAAUAAGGCCAAGCCAAGAUUCUCCCCGGGUGAAGAGUAUUUGGGCAGAGAGAUGAGCAAGAGUUCAAAAGUGCUGCCUGCAGGCGUGAACUGGUGCAGGAGCAAGAUGAAGCAGGGAUGCUGGUGCAGCCAUGAGCUUUUGCAGGAGGGUAUUGUCACACCUCAAAGCGUAGCGAAGGAACAGCACAGAUUCCAGCAUGUAUGGAGGGGGCCAAGUAGUAGUAGGGCUGGGUGGGCGGUGUUGUGGGCUGGGUGAGGAUUUGAAUUCCCAUAUGCGCAAGGAACAAGGCAGAACAGCACAGAGAGUGCUCUAGAGCCCACCCACCCCAAGUCUCAUCCUGACUCUCCACCUCUGAACCUAUGACUUGGGGAAGUCCCUUGCCCUUUCUCUCCAGGGGUCGUAGAUGUAAGAUGUAGAUCCCAGGAGAACCUGCCGAAGGGUGGUUGUGAGGGUUAAAUGAGCUGAUCUGUGUAAACAUCACUUAGCAUGUAAUAAGAGCUAUAAAAAUAAGUAUUUGGUUCUUAUUAUAUGGAAACUCCCUGGGAUGUUAGGAGGAAGAGUACCAAUAACUUGCUUAAAUUACUCCUUGGAAGGUUCCCUCCAUUUUCUGUGGAAUGGACCAUAGGGUGGCAAGAGUGGGAUUAGGGGGCCAGAGGUCAGCAGUUGAGACUGGAGUGAUGGUGGCUUAGUCCAAGGAGGUCAUGGUGGGUACGCUGGAAGUCAGCAGCUUGAAGUUGAACUUGGAAAGGAAAAUCAAUGGGAUUUGUUAUUGGUUUUGCAUGUGAGAUACAAGUUGAAAAGAGGGAGUAGUGAUGUCUCCCAGAAUUUUGUCUCAGCAAAUGAGUGAUGGGUGGCUCCAUUUUACUGAUACGGAGAACUUUGGGGGAAGAGAUUUUUGUUUCUUGGAUGAGUGGGGUCUUUUUUGUUGGGAGGGUGUGUUAGUCAGCUUUUCAUCACUGUGACCAAAAGAUCAGACAAGAAUAACUUGGAGGAGGAAAAGUCCACUUUGGCUCACAGUUUCAAUCUCAGUCCGUGGUCAGCCGACUCCGUUGCUCUGGGCCUGAUGCAGUGAUGGAACAUCGUGGCAGAAGAACAUGGAUAAGGAAAGCCACCAGCUCAUGGCAGCCCAGAAGCAGAGUGAGAGGGAGGCAUCAGGGACAAACUGUAAACCCAAAGUCCUGUCUGCCCUGUGGCCUACUUCCUCCAGCCAUGCCCUACCUGCCUACAGUUACACCCAGUACAGUGGUCCUUUCAUUAUUAAUCCAUCAAAUGCAUUAAUCCACUGAUUAGGUUAUGGCUCUCACAAUCUAACUCUGCAUUUUAGGGGUGCAGGGGACCUCAUAUCCAAACUACAUCAGAGGGGCAUUCACAAAUAUUAAGAGAAGAAAGUUCAAACAAUAUGAGAAACUCAAAAAUUUAAUGCUGACAAUUACAAAUUGGAAGAAAAGGGGGAAAUAUCUGAAGAAACAUAUGUAGUCACAGGGCAAUAAUUUAAGGAGCUCAGAUUUAUUCUUUGAAGUCAGAAAUACAUACAAUGACAUAGAUCUAUAGUAUGCAUGUACCAAUAUCACUUUCCUAGUUCGGUUAUUGUACUAUUGGUAAGAAAGACGUAACCAUCGGGGGAAACCUAGAGGAGGGCACUUGGGACCCCUCUGCACUGUCUUUGCAAAUUCAUGAGAAUCUAUCAUUAUUUCAAAAUCAAAUAUUUUAAAUAUUAGUCUUGCUCUUGAGAAGGAAGUAAGGACAAAUCUUUUAGAGGUUUCAGUUAACUAUAAGACAGUGUGAAUUGAAACGGUGAUGUGGUUGAUAAACUAUGGUGGAUGUGGCUAGGAUUAAUGAAGUAUAAAAUUCUUAAGGGUGUCUAUGGAAGAACCACUUCAUUUUGCCUGGGUCGAUCCACAUCUGACGUGGUAAGUUCAUUUCUGGGUGCCACACUUUCAGACUGACAAGCACUGAAUGACAGCUAUUCAAGACACUCAGAACUGGGCAGCCCUGUCACGUGGGAAUCAUUGAGGAGGUGAAGAUAUUUAGCCAAGAAAAUUGCAUAGCAGCUGUCUUCAGACACUUGACAAACUAUCAUUUGGGAAUCAAAUUUAGAUGAGUCUUUGACAUCCCUUUAACUGCCACAAACUUCUACUUUCUUGUCACAAAAUACCAGAAGUAUUUUUUAAGAACAUUUGCUGAAAUAAUUUUAGCCACAUCAAAACCUCUGAUUUAAAAACAACUGAAGCAGAAUAAACUAGGAACAUCAAAAUUUUCUCCCAACUGAAUCUUAACUGUUACUUCAUUUGGUCUGAGAUUGAGUCACUAACUUUAAGGAGGCUCUGCCUUAUUGCCAACCACCUUCAGCUGUCCCUUUUUGCAGUGGUCUCAAGAGUGAUUGGUCAGGUCUAUCUUUUACUUAAGAGUCAGAGGCCUAUCAGCCUUUGAUAUGAGACCAGGAAGAAGUUCUAAUUAAAUAUUUGCCUUAACUAGCAAAGAGGAAGACACACACCCUCCCUGUUUUCCCAUUUAAUGUACAGAUGGAAAGAAAGAUGGAUUUAGGCCAGGUGUGGUGGUGCAUACCUGUAGUCUCAGCGACUUGGGAAGCUGAGACAGGAGGAUCACAAGUUCAAAGCCAGCCUCAGCAAUUUAGCAAGGCCCUAAGCAACUCAGCAAGACCCUGUCCCAAAAUUAAAAAGAACUGAGAAUGUGGCUCAGUGGUUAAGCACCCCUGGGUUAAGGGAUUCAAUUCUACAAAGCUAAUAUUGCUACUUCCUAAUAUUAAUUUUUAUUAUGUACAGAAAUGAAGAUUAGAAAAAAUAAAUUAUUUGUCACUUUGCUACAAUAAAAGGUUAUUAAAAGCUUGAUAAUAAAACCCAAUGAAAAUACCUUGCAGACACUAAUUUUCAUAUCCCAAUUGCAAUGAAGACCUUCAUUGAGCAGCCUCACGAUUGUGUACCCACUUAUAUUGCUAUCAAAUUUUGUAUGACUGUUAAUCAGUUUUCUGUCACUGUUAUAAAAUACCUGAAGUUAUAAAUUUAAAAAGAGGAAAG